CAGCUAAGGUCCCAAAGUCAUGGUUAAGUGGGAAACGAUGUGGGAAGGCCCAGACAGCCAGGAUGUUGGCUUAGAAGCAGCCAUCAUUUAAAGAAAGCGUAAUAGCUCACUGGUCGAGUCGGCCUGCGCGGAAGAUGUAACGGGGCUAAACCAUGCACCGAAGCUGCGGCAGCGAACGUAUCACCCAAGACAACUUUGCGGAGUUGACGAUUGACGGAGCGAAGCGACGUCAAAGCGUUCAUUAAAGUCGAGUUGGCUUAGGGAUACGUUCGUUGGGUAGGGGAGCGUUCUGUAAGCCUGUGAAGGUGGCCUGUGAGGGUUGCUGGAGGUAUCAGAAGUGCGAAUGCUGACAUAAGUAACGAUAAAGCGGGUGAAAAGCCCGCUCGCCGGAAGACCAAGGGUUCCUGUCCAACGUUAAUCGGGGCAGGGUGAGUCGACCCCUAAGGCGAGGCCGAAAGGCGUAGUCGAUGGGAAACGGGUUAAUAUUCCCGUACUUGGUGUUACUGCGAAGGGGGGACGGAGAAGGCUAUGUUGGCCGGGCGACGGUUGUCCCGGUUUAAGCGUGUAGGUGUGUGUUCCAGGUAAAUCCGGUUCACUUUAACACUGAGGCGUGAUGACGAGGCACUACGGUGCUGAAGCAACAAAUGCCCUGCUUCCAGGAAAAGCCUCUAAGCAUCAGGUAACAUCAAAUCGUACCCCAAACCGACACAGGUGGUCAGGUAGAGAAUACCAAGGCGCUUGAGAGAACUCGGGUGAAGGAACUAGGCAAAAUGGUGCCGUAACUUCGGGAGAAGGCACGCUGACACGUAGGUGAAGUGAUUUACUCAUGGAGCUGAAGUCAGUCGAAGAUACCAGCUGGCUGCAACUGUUUAUUAAAAACACAGCACUGUGCAAACACGAAAGUGGACGUAUACGGUGUGACGCCUGCCCGGUGCCGGAAGGUUAAUUGAUGGGGUCAGCGCAAGCGAAGCUCCUGAUCGAAGCCCCGGUAAACGGCGGCCGUAACUAUAACGGUCCUAAGGUAGCGAAAUUCCUUGUCGGGUAAGUUCCGACCUGCACGAAUGGCGUAAUGAUGGCCAGGCUGUCUCCACCCGAGACUCAGUGAAAUUGAACUCGCUGUGAAGAUGCAGUGUACCCGCGGCAAGACGGAAAGACCCCGUGAACCUUUACUAUAGCUUGACACUGAACAUUGAGCCUUGAUGUGUAG
This 1207-nucleotide ribosomal RNA is filed under the name Salmonella enterica subsp. enterica. RNAcentral's name for it is "partial 23S ribosomal RNA". It matches the Rfam family "Bacterial large subunit ribosomal RNA", at positions 1036 to 2141 of the family's 2925-position model. Lineage: Bacteria; Pseudomonadati; Pseudomonadota; Gammaproteobacteria; Enterobacterales; Enterobacteriaceae. The record is from RNAcentral.